RNAcentral lists this ribosomal RNA (482 nucleotides) under uncultured bacterium. RNAcentral's name for it is "bacterial SSU rRNA". It matches the Rfam family "Bacterial small subunit ribosomal RNA", at positions 8 to 502 of the family's 1533-position model. The record is from RNAcentral.
AGAGUUUGAUCCUGGCUCAGAGCGAACGCUGGCGGCAGGCCUAACACAUGCAAGUCGAGCGAGAAAGUUCCUUCGGGAAUGAUUAAAGCGGCGGACGGGUGCGUACAACAUGGAUAACCUACCUUAAGGUCCGGGAUAACCUCGGGAAACCGAAGCUAAUACCGGAUAAGACCACAUUAUCUGCGGAUAAAGGGGUAAAAGUUUUUCGCCUUUUGAUGGGUCCAUGCUCCAUCAGGUUGUUGGUGAGGUAAAAGCUCACCAAGCCGAAGACGGAUAGCCGGCCUUAGCGGGUGAUCGGCCACACGGGGACUGAGACACGGCCCCGACUCCUACGGGAGGCAGCAGUGGGGAAUAUUGGGCAAUGGGCGAAAGCCUGACCCAGCCAUGCCGCGUGAAGGAUGAAGGCCUUUGGGUCGUAAACUUCUGUCAGGAGGGACGAGGGACUUCGGUCUUGACGUACCCCCAGAGAAGCCCCGCUAACU